GAAAUGCGAUAAGUAAUGCGAAUUGCAGAAUUUCCGUGAGUCAUCGAAUCUUUGAACGCACAUUGCGCCCAUUGGUAUUCCGAUGGGCAUGCCUGUCCGAGCGUCAUUACGCACCCUCAAGCCCGGCUUGUGUGAUGGGCCCUGGCGUCUCGUUCGCGAGACGGGCCCGAAAGGCAGCGGCGGCGUCGACCCGAUGAGCCCGAGCGUAUGGGGACUUUUGUCACACGUUUGCGGUGCGGACCGGCGCCUGCUUGACUUUUCUGAUUAUCCAGGUUGACCUCGGAUCAGGUAGGGAUACCCGCUGAACUUAAGC
RNAcentral lists this unclassified non-coding RNA (313 nucleotides) under plant metagenome. RNAcentral's name for it is "partial contains 5.8S ribosomal RNA, internal transcribed spacer 2, and large subunit ribosomal RNA". The stretch from base 1 to 106 matches the Rfam family "5.8S ribosomal RNA", at positions 50 to 154 of the family's 154-position model. The record is from RNAcentral.